This 253-nucleotide ribosomal RNA is filed under the name uncultured bacterium. RNAcentral describes it as "partial 16S ribosomal RNA". It matches the Rfam family "Bacterial small subunit ribosomal RNA", at positions 524 to 776 of the family's 1533-position model. The record is from RNAcentral.
UACGAAGGGGGCUAGCGUUGCUCGGAAUCACUGGGCGUAAAGCGCACGUAGGCGGCUUGUUAAGUCAGGGGUGAAAUCCUGGAGCUCAACUCCAGAACUGCCUUUGAUACUGGCGAGCUUGAGUUCGGGAGAGGUGAGUGGAACUGCGAGUGUAGAGGUGAAAUUCGUAGAUAUUCGCAAGAACACCAGUGGCGAAGGCGGCUCACUGGCCCGAUACUGACGCUGAGGAGCGAAAGCGUGGGGAGCGAACAGG